This 1149-nucleotide long non-coding RNA is filed under the name Salmo salar (Atlantic salmon). Its description in RNAcentral is "lncRNA (ENSSSAG00000092990.1)". The record is from RNAcentral. Lineage: Eukaryota; Metazoa; Chordata; Actinopteri; Salmoniformes; Salmonidae.
GUGUUAUGGUACCCAGAAUGCCCUGAGACCUCUCUCGUAAAUUAUAGAGGUCAUAGUAGUCUGAGAGCUUUAACAUCAUUUUAGAAACAUUCAUUACGAAAAUACAGUAUAUCAUUCCGACCCAAACACUAGGUACUGGACCGAAUGCUCGUUUAUUUUACUGCAAUAACCAACGUCUUUUGGGACUCGCUGUGGCCUUGCAGCAUGGAAACAUGUGCGUUUCACGAUGACGUCACCAAUUGGAAUCAAUGCCCCUCCCAGUCCAUGGUUGUUUGUAAACAGAGUAUGGUGGUGGAGGGGAGGGUGAAGACAUUAACACCUCUUUGCAAGAAGAACAUGAUCACACCUCUAGUGACAAGACCUGAGCCCUAGGACCAUGCCUCAGGACUACCUGGUAUGAUGACUCCUUGCUGUCCCCAGUCCACCUGGCCGUGCUGCUGCUCCAGUUUCAACUGUUCUGCCUGCGGCUAUGGAACCCUGACCUGUUCAUCGGACGUGCUUGUUGCACCCUCGACAACUACUAUGAUUAUUAUUAUUUGACCAUGCUGGUCAUUUAUUUACAUUUUAACAUUUUAACAUCUUGACCAUGUUCUGUUAUAAUAUCCACCCUGCACAGCCAGAAGAGGACUGGCCACCCCUCAUAGCCUGGUUCCUCUCUAGGUUUCUUCCUAGGUUUUUGGCCUUUCUAGGGAGUUUUUCCUAGGGAGUUUUUCCUAGCCACCGUGCUUCUUUCACAUGCAUUGCUUGCUGUUUGGGGUUUUAGGCUGGGUUUCUGUACAGCACUUUCAGAUAUCAGCUGAUGUACGAAGGGCUAUAUAAAAAUAAAUUUGAUUUGAUUGAUUUGAUUUUGCAGGGCUCUGGCAGUGCUCCUCCUUGCACAAAGGCGGAGGUAGCGGUCCUGCUGCAGGGUUGAUGCCAUCCUACGGCCUCCUCCACGUCUCCUGAUGUACUGGCCUGUCUCUUGGUAGCGCCUCCAUGCUCUGGACACUACGCUGACAGACACAGCAAACCUUCUUGCCACAGCUCGCAUUGAUGUGCCAUCCUGGAUGAGCUGCACUACCUGAGCCACUUGUGUGGGUUGUAGACUCCGUCUCAUGCUACCACUAGAGCGAAAGCCCCGCCAGCAUUCAAAAGUGACCAAAACAUCAG